RNAcentral lists this transfer RNA (70 nucleotides) under Dasycercus cristicauda (Crest-tailed Mulgara). RNAcentral describes it as "tRNA-Ser". It matches the Rfam family "tRNA". From Rfam's summary of the family: Transfer RNA (tRNA) molecules are approximately 80 nucleotides in length. Lineage: Eukaryota; Metazoa; Chordata; Mammalia; Dasyuromorphia; Dasyuridae. The record is from RNAcentral.
GAGAAAGACAUGAUGGUCAUGGGGUUGACUUGAAAUCAAUUUUUUGGGGGUUCGAUUCCUUCCUUUCUUG